UCAAAACUUCCUUGGAGUUUCAAAGACAGUUAUGUCCUCCCAUUGGGCAAAGAGAGUCAAAUACCCUCGGAGUUGACCUCGUUUAUUAAAAAAUCUUUUCGGGAAAACCGCAAGUCAGAUGUUAUAUUAGGCGUUGUGGUGUUCCGAGCUCCGCGUCCCGUCGAUCAUCCCAGUUUUAAUGCUUCA
Molecule: long non-coding RNA, 186 nt
Organism: Daphnia pulicaria
Lineage: Eukaryota; Metazoa; Arthropoda; Branchiopoda; Diplostraca; Daphniidae
Exons: 3
Source: RefSeq, a predicted model, not a curated record